This 200-nucleotide unclassified non-coding RNA is filed under the name soil metagenome. RNAcentral describes it as "partial contains internal transcribed spacer 2 and large subunit ribosomal RNA". The record is from RNAcentral.
GGCGUAUGUCGGCUCCUCUCAAAUGAAUUAGCUAUGGAUCGCGAUGUGGUAUGAUCUAAAGUGUGAUACAUGUCUACGCUGAAGAUCGGCCAUGCAGACUGCUUUGGCGGUUGAGCGAAUACAGAGCUCCUAAUCGUCCGCGAGGACAAUCUUAUCUGACAUCUGACCUCAAAUCAGGUAGGACUACCCGCUGAACUUAA